Molecule: ribosomal RNA, 206 nt
Filed under: uncultured bacterium
Lineage: Bacteria
Description: partial 16S ribosomal RNA
Rfam family: Bacterial small subunit ribosomal RNA
Source: RNAcentral
UACGAAGGGGGCUAGCGUUGUUCGGAUUUACUGGGCGUAAAGCGCACGUAGGCGGUUUGUUAAGUGAGAGGUGAAAUCCCAGAGCUCAACUCUGGAACUGCCUUUCAUACUGGCAAGCUAGAGUCCGGAAGAGGUAAGUGGAACUCCUAGUGUAGAGGUGGAAUUCGUAGAUAUUAGGAAGAACACCAGUGGCGAAGGCGGCUCAC